GACGAACGCUGGCGGCGUGCUUAACACAUGCAAGUCGAACGGAAAGGCCCUGCUUUUGUGGGGUGCUCGAGUGGCGAACGGGUGAGUAACACGUGAGUAACCUGCCCUUGACUUUGGGAUAACUUCAGGAAACUGGGGCUAAUACCGGAUAGGAGCUCCUGCUGCAUGGUGGGGGUUGGUAAGUUUCGGCGGUUGGGGAUGGACUCGCGGCGUAUCAGCUUGUUGGUGGGGUAGUGGCUUACCAAGGCUUUGACGGGUAGCCGGGCUGAGAGGGUGACCUGACACGUCGGGACUGAGAUGCGGCACAGACUACUACGGGAGGCAGCGGAGGAGAAGAUUGCACAAGGGGCGGGAGCCUGAUGCAGCAACGCCGCGUGCGGGAUGACGGCCUUCGGGUUGUAAACCGCUGUCGCCUGUGACGAAGCGUGAGUGACGGUAAUGGGUAAAGAAGCACCGGCUAACUACGUG
Molecule: ribosomal RNA, 468 nt
Filed under: uncultured bacterium
Lineage: Bacteria
Description: partial 16S ribosomal RNA
Rfam family: Bacterial small subunit ribosomal RNA
Source: RNAcentral